Molecule: unclassified non-coding RNA, 177 nt
Filed under: Favolus roseus
Lineage: Eukaryota; Fungi; Basidiomycota; Agaricomycetes; Polyporales; Polyporaceae
Description: partial ITS1
Source: RNAcentral
GCUGGCCUCACGAGGCACUGUGCACGCUCCGCUCAAUCCACUCUACACUUGUGAACUAACUGUGGGUCUUUCCGGGAGGUUGGUGCUGUUGCGCAAGCUUUUCUGGGGGGCUCAUGUUUACUUUAACAAACACUUAUAAAGUAAUGGAAUGUGUAUUGCGAUGUAACGCAUCUAUAU